This is a long non-coding RNA of Lates calcarifer (barramundi perch), 1501 nucleotides long. RefSeq lists it as uncharacterized. Lineage: Eukaryota; Metazoa; Chordata; Actinopteri; Centropomidae. The transcript is spliced from 2 exons. The record is from RefSeq and is a predicted model, not a curated record.
GUUAUGGCCAGAGAGCACACGGAAGUCAUGUGACCACAACAAUAGCAGACGGCAGAGGAAAGCAGAAGCGGGCAAGAAAACUUGAUUAACAUGUCAAGGUUUUUACAGAGAACCAUUCAUUACAGGUUAUCACGACGUGUGGUGAGCGGUGUUGAACCAUAGAAGUGAGUGAGCACAAGAAGGAUGACUUCUAGAAGAGGGAGGAGCAGAUGGAUUUCAUUCAGGUGAGAUUGGGGCAGGUUUAUGGCUCUGUGCCACACUGCGCCUGUUAAUAAAAUAAAUCUAGACAGGCUGUCAAUAUGGAAGCAGGAUGGCUCUUGCUAAAAAUUAAAUGAAAUUAAUCUGCUAGAACUGAUCAUACUGUAUAAAUUUAGCUUAAAUUUCCAGCAACAGGCUGCACCAAAAGCUUCUUCAUCAACGGUUUUUAUAAUCCAGGUAAACAUGAGGUUCUACUUGAAUUUGAUUUAACAUGUGAAAAUUAUUAUUAUCUGUAUAUGGAUCCACAGAAUGUCCACAUACUUAAUACUGCUGACACUUUGAGCAUACUAAACAAAUUCUGUUAUAUGUAUGACAUAUUGACCUUUGUGCAUUUUUGCUGCUUCACCUAGGGCAGCAGAAGUGCAAGUCAUCAUUAGAUAACAACCACUGAAUACUUGGGAGGGGACGAGACAGACAGGGAGCCUGUGUGGGAGUAUGACUUUGUAUGAAUGGAAGAUGGAUAUUAAAUAACACUGACGUCAUACUUAAACAGAAGCCAGGGGAGGUGUUUGGGUGGAAGAGCAGUGAGGUUGAAAGCCCUGUGCUCCUGCUAGCUUUAAGGUGGCUCUGCAUGUAGCAUUUUGCAGCUAAAUGAUGGCAGGGUGGCUCUAAAAUUGGGAUCUCAUAUAUUUGAGACUAUCUUGUGUGUUUUGUGACCUAAAAAACUUCAUUUGAGUUUUCAGGUGACCUCCAAGGUGAAGGGUUGGAUCUUAAGAAGAAGAAAAGCCAUGACCUGGAUGACUGAGAAUCUUCACAGACAUCUUACUGACGUUUAAUUUUGGGUUGAAGUAUUCCUAAUAUUACACUUUAUGCUGUUGGACUAAAGUUAAAAUUCUCUUUUUAUCUUGUCAUGCCACAGCCUUCCAACAGGAAAUGAAGCUGAAACCACAACUCACAGGCUUGAGAUGUACUAUUCACUUUUUUUAAUUUAUUUUUUUUAUUUCUUUCUAGUCAGUACAGCACACUCCACCCUAAAAGUUCCUGGUCCAUCAGAAAGUACUGUAUUAGGACGCCCAGGUGACCAAGGGGUUAAACUGCAUACUGUGAACUGUCAUCUUUCUAUCUGAUUAACUGCCAAGAAAUUUUAUUAAUUCAAAUUUCUAUUUAAAGACAUUAAAUAGAAACUAAAUGGAACCUACAGCUCUGGCUCGAUUCCACAUCAAAAACGUGUCCUUUGUCUCUUCUCAGUGCACAUGGCUCACUUGUCAAAGCAGUGAUGUAAAUAAAGCUUAAUUGCAGCAUG